Molecule: unclassified non-coding RNA, 150 nt
Filed under: soil metagenome
Description: partial internal transcribed spacer 1
Source: RNAcentral
CCGAGUUAUACAACUCAUCAACCCUGUGAACAUACCUAUAACGUUGCCUCGGCGGGAACAGACGGCCCCGUAACACGGGCCGCCCCCGCCAGAGGACCCCCUAACUCUGUUUCUAUAAUGUUUCUUCUGAGUAAACAAGUAAAUAAAUUA